RNAcentral lists this transfer RNA (72 nucleotides) under Ophiostoma novo-ulmi subsp. novo-ulmi H327. Its description in RNAcentral is "tRNA-Trp (CCA) (tRNA-Trp-CCA-2-1)". It matches the Rfam family "tRNA". Rfam says of the family: Transfer RNA (tRNA) molecules are approximately 80 nucleotides in length. The record is from RNAcentral. RNAcentral also lists the same sequence under 1 other name. Lineage: Eukaryota; Fungi; Ascomycota; Sordariomycetes; Ophiostomatales; Ophiostomataceae.
GGCCCAGUGGCGUAAUGGUAACGCGUCUGAUUCCAGUCCAGAAGAUUAUCCGUUCAAUUCGGGUCUGGGUCA